AGCGAACGCUGGCGGCAUGCCUAACACAUGCAAGUCGAACGAGACCUUCGGGUCUAGUGGCGCACGGGUGCGUAACGCGUGGGAAUCUGCCCUUUGCUUCGGAAUAACACAGAGAAAUUUGUGCUAAUACCGGAUAAUGUCGCAAGACCAAAGAUUUAUCGGCAAAGGAUGAGCCCGCGUAGGAUUAGGUAGUUGGUGGGGUAAUGGCCUACCAAGCCGACGAUCCUUAGCUGGUCUGAGAGGAUGAUCAGCCACACUGGGACUGAGACACGGCCCAGACUCCUACGGGAGGCAGCAGUGGGGAAUAUUGGACAAUGGGCGAAAGCCUGAUCCAGCAAUGCCGCGUGAGUGAUGAAGGCCUUAGGGUUGUAAAGCUCUUUUACCAGGGAUGAUAAUGACAGUACCUGGAGAAUAAGCUCCGGCUAACUCCGUGCCAGCAGCCGCGGUAAU
RNAcentral lists this ribosomal RNA (450 nucleotides) under uncultured bacterium. RNAcentral's name for it is "bacterial SSU rRNA". It matches the Rfam family "Bacterial small subunit ribosomal RNA", at positions 29 to 524 of the family's 1533-position model. The record is from RNAcentral.